Tupaia belangeri (northern tree shrew) is the source of this 69-nucleotide non-coding RNA. NCBI's taxonomy places the organism in Eukaryota, Metazoa, Chordata, Mammalia, Scandentia, Tupaiidae. The record is from Ensembl.
GUAGACAUAGUUUAAAUAAAACGUUAGAUUGUGAAUCUAAUAAUAGAAACUAAACCUUUCUUGUCUACC